RNAcentral lists this ribosomal RNA (326 nucleotides) under uncultured eukaryote. RNAcentral describes it as "partial 18S ribosomal RNA". It matches the Rfam family "Eukaryotic small subunit ribosomal RNA", at positions 1470 to 1796 of the family's 1831-position model. The record is from RNAcentral.
CCCUUAGAUGUUCUGGGCUGCACGCGCGCUACACUGAUGCACUCUACGAGUUUACGACCUUGCCCGAUAGGGUUGGGUAAUCUUUUUAAAAUGCAUCGUGAUGGGGAUAGAUUAUUGCAAUUAUUAAUCUUCAACGAGGAAUUCCUAGUAAGCGCGAGUCAUCGGCUCGUGCUGAUUACGUCCCUGCCCUUUGUACACACCGCCCGUCGCUCCUACCGAUUGAGUGCUCAGGUGGAUAAUUCGGACUGCAGCAAUGUUUGGAUCCCGAACGUUGCAGCGGAAAGUUUAGUGAACCUUAUCACUUAGAGGAAGGAGAAGUCGUAACA